AUGGCCAUCCACGGCGUGGCGUGUUGCCCGACCCGCAGCGACUCCUCGUGCGUGGCAUGGCUCCCCUCGUCCGCCCAUGGCGGAAGCAGACCUGGUCGUGGCCUCCCUCUAGAGCGCGCGAUGCGGCUCUCGCCAUGGCGCAGCCCUCACCAGCCUCCCACGGCUGUGCGCGACGGCUCCCUCCCGGCGCGGAGGCGGUGCCCAGCGACGCCGUUGCAAGGCCGGUUACCUGAAGCGGUCUGCGCGGCACUGAUGUACGCCCUCUGA
This 267-nucleotide ribosomal RNA is filed under the name Triticum aestivum (bread wheat). Its description in RNAcentral is "partial small subunit ribosomal RNA". The record is from RNAcentral. Lineage: Eukaryota; Viridiplantae; Streptophyta; Magnoliopsida; Poales; Poaceae.